RNAcentral lists this long non-coding RNA (542 nucleotides) under Phaseolus vulgaris (common bean). RNAcentral describes it as "long non-coding RNA (PVUL_LNC000690)". Lineage: Eukaryota; Viridiplantae; Streptophyta; Magnoliopsida; Fabales; Fabaceae. The record is from RNAcentral.
UCAAAGCCUUGGGAGCUAGAGGACAUUUAUUUUCUCUUUUUGUAGUGUCUUUAGUUGAAGGUGCUUAGAGGGAAACCUUAGAAACCUCUUUUGUUAUAGCAUCUUUUAGGUUUUAGUUAGGAGCUUUAGGGGGGUGUAUUAGUAGAUAGGUGUAGGAGUAGAAUAGGGGGUGCCAAAGUGAAGGAAAGGAUCACACCUUCCUUGCCUUGCAUUUUAGCGCCGGUUCUAGCUUGUUUUGGAGGGAAUUUUGUUUUGUUUUAGCUUUCAAUUUUCAGCACCUUAGGCUAUAAAUAGAGGUGCCUUCCUUGUAAAUUUCAGAUUUGAAUUCAUCUAAAGAAACUAUACUCAAAAUUGGAGUGAGCAUUUGGAGAGCUUUUGAGCUUCUACUCUAGUCUUAUCUUGAAGGACCAUGGUUUCCUCAAGUGGCGGCUUCCACACUCAUCUAGGAGCAUCCAUACUUCUAGUGGCGUGAACAUCCAACCUAUCUUCCAUCUUCAUGAGCAUUCUCUUCUCCUUCCUUUCUUCUCUUUCAAUUACUCUUG